CAAUCUAUACUGUGAAACUGCGAAUGGCUCAUUAAAUCAGUUAUCGUUUAUUUGAUAGUACCUUACUACUUGGAUAACCGUGGUAAUUCUAGAGCUAAUACAUGCUAAAAACCUCGACUUCGGAAGGGGUGUAUUUAUUAGAUAAAAAACCAAUGCCCUUCGGGGCUCCUUGGUGAUUCAUAAUAACUUAACGAAUCGCAUGGCCUUGUGCCGGCGAUGGUUCAUUCAAAUUUCUGCCCUAUCAACUUUCGAUGGUAGGAUAGUGGCCUACCAUGGUAUCAACGGGUAACGGGGAAUUAGGGUUCUAUUCCGGAGAGGGAGCCUGAGAAACGGCUACCACAUCCAAGGAAGGCAGCAGGCGCGCAAAUUACCCAAUCCCAAUACGGGGAGGUAGUGACAAUAAAUACUGAUACAGGGCUCUUUUGGGUCUUGUAAUUGGAAUGAGUACAAUUUAAAUCCCUUAACGAGGAACAAUUGGAGGGCAAGUCUGGUGCCAGCAGCCGCGGUAAUUCCAGCUCCAAUAGCGUAUAUUAAAGUUGUUGCAGUUAAAAAGCUCGUAGUUGAACCUUGGGCUCGGCUAGCCGGUCCGCCUCACCGCGUGCACUGGUCCGGCCGGGCCUUUCCUUCUGGGGAUCCGCAUGCCCUUCACUGGGUGUGCCGGGGAACCAGGACUUUUACUUUGAAAAAAUUAGAGUGUUCAAAGCAGGCAUUUGCUCGAAUACAUUAGCAUGGAAUAAUAGAAUAGGACGUGCGGUUCUAUUUUGUUGGUUUCUAGGACCGCCG
This 783-nucleotide ribosomal RNA is filed under the name Dothideomycetes sp. L1855. Its description in RNAcentral is "SSU rRNA". It matches the Rfam family "Eukaryotic small subunit ribosomal RNA", at positions 70 to 862 of the family's 1831-position model. Lineage: Eukaryota; Fungi; Ascomycota; Dothideomycetes. The record is from RNAcentral.